Molecule: ribosomal RNA, 440 nt
Filed under: uncultured bacterium
Lineage: Bacteria
Description: partial 16S ribosomal RNA
Rfam family: Bacterial small subunit ribosomal RNA
Source: RNAcentral
CCUACGGGAGGCAGCAGUGGGGAAUAUUGCACAAUGGGGGAAACCCUGAUGCAGCGACGCCGCGUGAGUGAAGAAGUAAUUCGGUAUGUAAAGCUCUAUCAGCAUGGAAGAAAAUGACGGUACCUGAGUAAGAAGCCCCGUCUAACUACGUGACAGCAGCCGCGGUAAUACGUAGGGGGCAAGCGUUAUCCGGAUUUACUGGGUGUAAAGGGAACGUAGACGGCAGUGCAAGUCUGGAGUGAAAGGCGGGGGCUCAACCCCCGGACUGCUCUGGAAACUGUACGGUUGGAGUGCAGGAGAGGUAAGUGGAAUUCCUAGUGUAGCGGUGAAAUGCGUAGAUAUUAGGAGGAACACCAGUGGCGAAGGCGGCUUACUGGACUGUAACUGACGUUGAGGCUCGAAAGCGUGGGGAGCAAACAGGAUUAGAUACCCUGGUAGUC